This 1651-nucleotide long non-coding RNA is filed under the name Rattus norvegicus (Norway rat). Its description in RNAcentral is "long non-coding RNA NONRATT028251". The record is from RNAcentral. Lineage: Eukaryota; Metazoa; Chordata; Mammalia; Rodentia; Muridae.
AAAGGCGACUUAUGAAGGCAGAACAGGACUAGUCCCUGAAAACUACGUUGUCUUCCUCUAAUAGUAUUAGUGGAUGGCAGUAUCUUCAUGGUAUCCAUGGUAACACAUAAUCAGUGCUAUAAUUUUAUCUGACACAGAUAUGGGGGACCAGCCACUAAAAGAAACAUCUAUGUGUCUCAAGUUUUUCACCAGCAGACUAUGUAGCUCCUACUUGAUGGAAAGAGAAACACACAUAUUUGCAUCAUAGCUAUUCUUUUUGCUGUUUUCUUACUUUUAAGAUAUGCUUCUCUCUCUCCCUGUCUCUCUCUCUCCCUCUCUCCCACUCUCCCUCUCUCCCUCUCCCUUUCUCAGAGGAAGUGAUUUGUGACAGAGUCUGCUUGCUAGCAGUUGCAGAAUCCUAGAUACCAAACCCAAUCCUGCAUACCCCAAAUUUGGAAGUCAGAAAUCUGCUCUGCCCAUGUUAAAAUCUGUUCCUUAUUGCCUGAUAGUCUCUGGGGAACCUUGAAAUCAUUACUUUAAAAUUGUAAUUUAAAUUGUUCAUUUAUUAUUUUUGUUUUUUUAAUAUACUGUUUUUAUAUGUGAUUGUUUUGCUGGUCCUAAACAUUUCAAGAAAAUCAGUCCUUAUUUUAUCAUAACUAUAUUUUAUUUGUUUUCUAAGAUGAUAGUAUUUGAAAGCAAUAAUGUAUAUGAAGUCUGUAAAGUAAGCCGAGUGUAAGUCAAACACUGAUUCCACCAUAAGCAGUCCAUCCAGAACAGUAGAUGGUUUCUCUGAUUCCAAGCGCAAGUCGGAGAAACACGUCUGUAAAGCCUGUAAGGGUAUAUUUUUGUCGCAGGCUAGAUGUGACUUAUGAAGCCCAGAUGAACCAUCCUUCCUUUAGACGUCAUGUAAACUGAUCUUGGGACUUUUAUAAAAUUUUCCAUUAAAACACACGUGUUAAUAAAUCACAUGUGCACAUCUUUUGCUUCCUGUCAGUAUGGUGACAUUGUAAUGGCCAUUGUGGGCCAAUGUAAAGGUGUGGUGUACCAUGCAGCCAGCCCACUGGAACUGCUACGGCCUCUGGUUUUAAUGAUGGGGAAGUUUUGGACUCAGAUGCUGUUGUACAAAUGAUAAAGACAUUGUUUGAACUCUUAAUUGAGAAACUGUGCCUUCUAAACCUUUUUUUACUGGAAACAGGAAAUGAACACCUACUCGAUUCUUAGACCACAAAGUGUGCUUUCUUAAAAAAAGAUUUAUUUAUUUAUAUGAAUGUUUUGUCCACAUGUGUGUAUGUGUACUACAUGUAUGCCUUUUACCCAUGAAGGUCAGAAAAGAGAGGCUAAUAGCCUUGAACUAGAAUUACCGAGGGAACUGAGUUACUAAUGGUCGUAACUCCAGCCCCCGACCACAGAGUUUGAGAGCAAGCCAUCAUUGUUAACAGGAGUGGAAUUUACAAGGUUUUCUAGGAUGGCAUUCAGCCAUAGCCUUUCCUAUGAAUUCCACUGAAUUAUAGACCUCAUACAGCAGAGAGGUAUUUACUCUUCCUUAUGAGGUUGCAAACUAAGGGUUGUAUAUCAGCCACUCCUUCUAUCAUAACCUAUUUCAAUAAUUCCAAUGAAUAUAUACAAUGACAAAAAGCACUUCUUCUCCACAGUCUGAAAGGUUGUCUGCCCA